RNAcentral lists this long non-coding RNA (1568 nucleotides) under Sinocyclocheilus grahami. RNAcentral describes it as "lncRNA (ENSSGRG00000017079.1)". Lineage: Eukaryota; Metazoa; Chordata; Actinopteri; Cypriniformes; Cyprinidae. The record is from RNAcentral.
AUGGGUGGAUGCUCCGCUCCAAACUGCUCGAACUCUACAACUAUUGGAAAGCAGCUCUUCCGCUUUCCGAAAGACCCCGUGCGCAUGAGAAAGUGGCUUGUAAACUGUCGGCGUGAUUUUGUACCGACUCCCUGCUCCAGACUGUGCCAGGACCACUUUGAAGAAAGCCAGUUUGAGGAGAUCGCCAGAUCACCAGCAGGGGGAAGGAAGCUCAAGCCCAACGCAAUCCCCACACUAUUCAAUGUACCCGACCCUCCCUCUCCUGUCACCCCUCAAGCAGUGUUACCUGUUAAAAAUGAGCCAGUGGAAAAGGACUUGAACAUGGGGGACCAUGGUUAUGCCCGCCGACAGCCCCCUGUGGAUUCAGAGGAGGAUGGGGUUCAGAGGGCAGACGAGGAGCGACCUUGCUCUCUCUGCCAGCAUUAUAAAACCAGACUGGAGCAGCAACAGCAGCACACAGUCAGACUACAGAGAGAGGCAGAGGAGAUGAAGAAACGCCUUUACAAACUGAGUAAAAUAGAGAAGGGGCUACAGGUGUUUCUGUUUGAGGAUCAGAUACGUGCCCUAACGUUAGCCAAGCGUUCUCGGAGGGCAGUGUGGUCCCAUGGUACUUUACUGACAGCCCGUAAAAUCCGCUGCACAGUGGGGGUUAAAGGAUACGAGUACCUAAGAGAACUGGGCUACCCUUUGCCUUCUUACAGGACGCUGUGUAAUCGCCUGGAGCCCAAAAUGAUGGUGACCACAAGCAUGCAGGAUGAACUAGCAGAGCUUGGCCUGGGCAUCAUAACAGCUUGUGACAGUCCAGAGGGCAACGUGACGAGCGAUGAAGGACUGAUUGGAGUCAUGACCUGAUACACUGUGUUUGUAAGAAUCUGCACUAAUGCUUGACUGUUAAACCAACCGAAGGCGAAGCUACGGCAGGAUUCACAGAGGAUGUUUGUUUACUGGGUUAAGUUAUUUUGGGUUGUUGCAUUUUAAAACCAUUUGCAUUAAUACCACAACCGUCUAGAGUUGAUUCACUAUUAUCUGUUUUCUUUUCUUCAAGAAAGAAAUAUUUUGGUCUUGCUGCAUCUGGCUGUGUAGUUGAUAUCUCUUGAUGCAAAUAUUGCACCUGUUACCCAUUUUGAGAAAAUUGAGGUAAACUGUUGGUGGAAUAAUUUCAGUUGUUCGUAGAAUCAUAAACUACUAAGAAUGUGCCCUGAAAACCAAAUAUUAUCACUCUAAACUUAAUUUUUGCUACUGAGACAAAGAGAAGGUUUCGCUUGUUUCUAUGAGAGAAAGUUGACAAAAGAGACUUGAUAAAUUGUCAAAUUGACAUGACGGUGUGACUGUGUAAAGUCACUAUUUUAAAGUGGUAUAUUGGUAGUAAUGCUGUUUUAAAGUGGUGUAAAUCUGGUGUAUGAGUUUAGCAGCCAAAAAAUAGCACAUAUUUAUAGAGCCACCACACAAAUGAUUCAUGCUGUUGCCGAACUGAGGGGGCUGUUCUGAAUAAACUUCUGUCUGCAAACCAGAGUUUCUGGUUUCAUUUAUUUUUUUUCCUGUGUUCAUGUUUGCCACCCCUGUCUGUG